UACGUAGGGUGCAAGCGUUGUCCGGAAUUAUUGGGCGUAAAGAGCUCGUAGGCGGUCUGUCACGUCGGCUGUGAAAACUCGGGGCUCAACCCCGAGCCUGCAGUCGAUACGGGCAGACUAGAGUCCGGCAGGGGAGACUGGAAUUCCUGGUGUAGCGGUGAAAUGCGCAGAUAUCAGGAGGAACACCCGAUGGCGAAGGCAGAUCUCUGGGCCGUAACUGACGCU
RNAcentral lists this ribosomal RNA (225 nucleotides) under uncultured bacterium. Its description in RNAcentral is "partial 16S ribosomal RNA". It matches the Rfam family "Bacterial small subunit ribosomal RNA", at positions 524 to 747 of the family's 1533-position model. The record is from RNAcentral.